Molecule: ribosomal RNA, 446 nt
Filed under: uncultured bacterium
Lineage: Bacteria
Description: partial 16S ribosomal RNA
Rfam family: Bacterial small subunit ribosomal RNA
Source: RNAcentral
CCUACGGGUGGCAGCAGUCGAGAAUCAUUCACAAUGGGGGAAACCCUGAUGGUGCGACGCCGCGUGGGGGAAUGCAGGUCUUCGGAUUGUAAACCCCUUUCAUGUGGGAGCAAAUUAAAAAGAUAGUACCACCAGAAGAAGAUACGGCUAACUCUGUGCCAGCAGCCGCGGUAAUACCGAGGUCUCAAGCGUUGUUCGGAAUCACGGGGCGUAAAGCGUGCGUAGGCUGUUUCGUAAGUCGUGUGUGAAAGGCGCGGGCUCAACCCGGGGACGGCAUAUGAUACUGCGAGACUAGAGGUAAGGAGGGGGAACCGGAAUGCUCGGUGUAGCAGUGAAAUGCGUAGAUAUCGAGAGGAACACUCGUGGCGAAGGCGGGUUCCUGGACAUUAACUGACGCUGAGGCACGAAGGCCAGGGGAGCGAAAGGGAUUAGAUACCCGAGUAGUC